RNAcentral lists this ribosomal RNA (511 nucleotides) under uncultured bacterium. RNAcentral's name for it is "bacterial SSU rRNA". It matches the Rfam family "Bacterial small subunit ribosomal RNA", at positions 16 to 518 of the family's 1533-position model. The record is from RNAcentral.
AUCCUGGCUUAGGAUGAACGCUGGCGGCGUGCCUAACACAUGCAAGUCGAACGGGACUAUCAAGUGAUGUUUCGGACUGAACUUUUAGUUAGUGGCGGACGGGUGAGUAACGCGUGGACAACCUGGCCUCUCGACUGGGGGAUGGCAGCUGGAAACGGCUGGUAAUACCGCAUGCGUUCAAUGUGCCGCAUGACACAUUGAAGAAAGAUUUAUCGGUGAGAGAUGGGUCCGCGUCUGAUUAGCCAGUUGGCGGGUAACGCCACCAAAGCGACGAUCAGUAGCCGGCCUGAGAGGGCGGACGGCCACAUUGGGACUGAGACACGGCCCAGACUCCUACGGGAGGCAGCAGUGGGGGAUAUUGCACAAUGGGCGCAAGCCUGAUGCAGCGAACCGCCGCGUGAGUGAAGAAGUAUUUCGGUAUGUAAAGCUCUAUCAGCAGGGAAGAAAGGCCCGCAAGGGAGAUGACGGUACCUGACUAAGAAGCCCCGGCUAACUACGUGCCAGCCGCCGC